RNAcentral lists this unclassified non-coding RNA (352 nucleotides) under soil metagenome. Its description in RNAcentral is "partial contains 5.8S ribosomal RNA, internal transcribed spacer 2, and large subunit ribosomal RNA". The stretch from base 1 to 120 matches the Rfam family "5.8S ribosomal RNA", at positions 35 to 154 of the family's 154-position model. The record is from RNAcentral.
GAUGAAGAACGCAGUGCAAUGCGAUAAGUAAUGUGAAUUGCAGAAUUCAGUGAAUCAUCGAAUCUUUGAACGCACAUUGCGCCCGCCAGUAUUCUGGCGGGCAUGCCUGUUCGAGCGUCAUUACAACCCUCAGGCCCCCGGGCCUGGCGUUGGGGAUCGGCGGAGCCCCCCGUGGGCACACGCCGUCCCCCAAAUGCAGUGGCGGUCCCGCCGCAGCUUCCAUCGCGUAGUAGCUAACACCUCGCGACUGGAGAGCGGCGCGGCCACGCCGUAAAACACCCAACUCUUCUGAAGUUGACCUCGAAUCAGGUAGGAAUACCCGCUGAACUUAAGCAUAUCAAUAAGCGGAGGA